GGCAUUGCCAAGUUCUCAGACAUGGAGUUCCUUCUCAUCUCUCUCUCAAGGACAUCAAUGCAUAACCGGUCUUUGUUAGUUCCCUGCCCCUGCUUUGUAGCUUCAAGAUAAUCCUUUCGCCUUGUCAUUCUCCGACAGAUUGCUACAGCUGUUUGCCCAUCUGAUGUAGUUUCUGAUGCGCAUGCUCCCUUGCUCAGCAGAGUCACCAUCACUUCUGGCUCAUUACGCCUUGCAGCCACAUGAAGCACCGUACGUCCUCUUGCAUCCUUAAGAUUGAGACAAGCCAAGUCCAUAUUGAGCACUUCCUUGAAAACCUUAGGGCUGCAGUAGGCAGCAGCAUAGUGCAGGGCGUAAGCAUCAUCCAGAGUGACACUAGAUACAUCCAGAAGAAGCUUCAACAGUUCAACGUCAUCAGAGUCCAGCGCCUUGUGGAUUCUUCUGACUAUUUUUGCAUGCAUAGGGUCCACUUCUGCUAUAUUAGCUUCAGACUCCUGGUUAGAUUUGACACGGAGUGAUUUGAUUUCACUUGAAACUUCAUCAGGAAGCUCUUUCUCGAGACAAACAUUGUCAAGAUUUGACUUUGCAAUUCUCUGGAUGCAGAAAGAACGGAGGUGGUUCAGUUGGCAAUGCAAGGCAGCCACGAGAAUUGGGAUUACAUCUUCCACAAGAGCCUUCUCAACCAAGUUCAGAAGCCAAAGCUACACGGACAGAUAGAGUUUUGAUUCAGAAUAAUAUAUUCAAAAUUCAGAUACCCCAUAGUGGGUAAUUAUUGAAGCCAAGUCCAUAUUGAGCACUUCCUUGAAAACCUUAGGGCUGCAGUAGGCAGCAGCAUAGUGCAGGGCGUAAGCAUCAUCCAGAGUGACACUAGAUACAUCCAGAAGAAGCUUCAACAGUUCAACGUCAUCAGAGUCCAGCGCCUUGUGGAUUCUUCUGACUAUUUUUGCAUGCAUAGGGUCCACUUCUGCUAUAUUAGCUUCAGACUCCUGGUUAGAUUUGACACGGAGUGAUUUGAUUUCACUUGAAACUUCAUCAGGAAGCUCUUUCUCGAGACAAACAUUGUCAAGAUUUGACUUUGCAAUUCUCUGGAUGCAGAAAGAACGGAGGUGGUUCAGUUGGCAAUGCAAGGCAGCCACGAGAAUUGGGAUUACAUCUUCCACAAGAGCCUUCUCAACCAAGUUCAGAAGCCAAAG
Molecule: long non-coding RNA, 1190 nt
Filed under: Citrus sinensis (sweet orange)
Lineage: Eukaryota; Viridiplantae; Streptophyta; Magnoliopsida; Sapindales; Rutaceae
Description: long non-coding RNA (CSIN_LNC003025)
Source: RNAcentral